Molecule: ribosomal RNA, 393 nt
Filed under: uncultured bacterium
Lineage: Bacteria
Description: partial 16S ribosomal RNA
Rfam family: Bacterial small subunit ribosomal RNA
Source: RNAcentral
AUACGGAGGAUCCGAGCGUUAUCCGGAUUUAUUGGGUUUAAAGGGUGCGCAGGCGGGAGAUUAAGUCGGCGGUGAAAUUUUGCAGCUCAACUGUAAAAGUGCCUUCGAAACUGGGUUCCUUGAGUGUAGAUGAAGUAGGCGGAAUUUGUGGUGUAGCGGUGAAAUGCAUAGAUAUCACGAGGAACUCCGAUUGCGCAGGCAGCUUACUAAACUACUACUGACGCUCAGGCACGAAGGCGUGGGGAUCAAACAGGAUUAGAUACCCUGGUAGUCCACGCAGUAAACGAUGAUUACUAGCUGUUUGCGAUACAAUGUAAGCGGCUGAGCGAAAGCGUUAAGUAAUCCACCUGGGGAGUACGUUCGCAAGAAUGAAACUCAAAGGAAUUGACGGGG